GUUGUAUGGUUAAGUGACGAAGCGUAUACGGUGGAUGCCUUGGCAGUUAGAGGCGAUGAAGGACGUGUAAGUCUGCGAAAAGCUGUGGUGAGCCGACAAAAUGCAUUUGAGCCACAGAUGUCCGAAUGGGGAAACCCACCUGUUUACAGGUAUCGUUACAUGAAUACAUAGUGUAACGAGGCGAACGAGGGGAACUGAAACAUCUAAGUACCCUUAGGAAAAGAAAUCAAUUGAGAUUCCCCUAGUAGCGGCGAGCGAACGGGGAGCAGCCCUUAAGCUGUUUAGUGUGUAGUGGAAUCCUUUGGGAAGAGGAGCGAUACAGGGUGAUAGCCCCGUACACGUAGCGUGCUUUACAGUGAAAUCGAGUAGGUCGGGACACGUGUUAUCUUGACUGAAUAUGGGGGGACCAUCCUCCAAGGCUAAAUACUCCUAACUGACCGAUAGUGAACCAGUACCGUGAGGGAAAGGCGAAAAGAACCCCUGUGAGGGGAGUGAAAUAGAACCUGAAACCGUAUACGUACAAGCAGUGGGAGCCCUUCGGGGUGACUGCGUACCUUUUGUAUAAUGGGUCAGCGACUUAUAUUUAGUAGCAAGGUUAAGCGAAUAGCGGAGCCGUAGCGAAAGCGAGUGUUAACUGCGCGUUGAGUUGCUAGGUAUAGACCCGAAACCCGGUGAUCUAGCCAUGGGCAGGUUGAAGGUUGAGUAACAUCAACUGGAGGACCGAACCGACUGACGUUGAAAAGUCAGCGGAUGACUUGUGGCUGGGGGUGAAAGGCCAAUCAAACCGGGAGAUAGCUGGUUCUCCCCGAAAUCUAUUUAGGUAGAGCCUCGGACGAAUUCCAUUGGGGGUAGAGCACUGUUAAGGCUAGGGGGUCAUCCCGACUUACCAACCCUUUGCAAACUCCGAAUACCAAUGAGAACUAUCCGGGAGACACACGGCGGGUGCUAACGUCCGUCGUGGAGAGGGAAACAACCCAGACCGCCAGCUAAGGUCCCAAAAUAUUGCUAAGUGGGAAACGAUGUGGGAAGGCAUAGACAGCUAGGAGGUUGGCUUAGAAGCAGCCACCCUUUAAAGAAAGCGUAAUAGCUCACUAGUCGAGUCGGCCUGCGCGGAAGAUGUAACGGGGCUAAGCAAUAUACCGAAGCUGCGGCAGCACAGUUUACUGUGCUGGGUAGGGGAGCGUUGUGUAAGUGGAUGAAGGUGAGUUGUAAAGCUUGCUGGACAUAUCACAAGUGCGAAUGCUGACAUGAGUAACGAUAAUGGGAGUGAAAAACUCCCACGCCGGAAGACCAAGGUUUCCUGUCCCAUGCUAAUCAGGGCAGGGUAAGUCGGCCCCUAAGGCGAGGCAGAAAUGCGUAGUCGAUGGGAAACGGAUUAAUAUUUCCGUACUUGUAUAAUCAGUGAUGGAGGGACGGAGAAGGCUAGGCAAGCUUGGCGUUGGUUGUCCAAGUGAAAGUGAGUAGGCUGCGUAUUUAGGUAAAUCCGGAUACGCUCUUUAAAAGAGAAAGGCCGAGACACGAGACGAGCUCCCAAGGGAGUGAAGUUGUUGAUGCCCUGCUUCCAGGAAAAGCUUCUAAACUUAUGAUUAUAUGAACCGUACCCCAAACCGACACAGGUGGUCAGGUAGAGAAUACUAAGGCGCUUGAGAGAACUCGGGUGAAGGAACUCGGCAAAAUUGUACCGUAACUUCGGGAGAAGGUACGCCUCUGUUUGUGAACACUUCGCGUGGUAAGCAAAUGGAGGCCGCAGUGACCAGGUGGCUGGGACUGUUUAUUAAAAACACAGCACUCUGCAAACUCGUAAGAGGACGUAUAGGGUGUGACACCUGCCCGGUGCCGGAAGGUUAAUUGAUGGGGUUAGCGUAAGCGAAGCUCUUGAUCGAAGCCCCGGUAAACGGCGGCCGUAACUAUAACGGUCCUAAGGUAGCGAAAUUCCUUGUCGGGUAAGUUCCGACCUGCACGAAUGGUGUAACCAUGGCCACGCUGUCUCCACCCGAGACUCAGUGAAAUUGAAAUCGCAGUGAAGAUGCUGUGUACCCGCACCUAGACGGAAAGACCCCGUGAACCUUUACUACAGCUUGGCACUGAACAUUGAACCUACAUGUGUAGGAUAGGUGGGAGGCUUCGAAGCACAGUCGCUAGAUUGUGUGGAGCCGUCCUUGAAAUACCACCCUUGUAUGUUUGAUGUUCUAACAUUGGUCCCUUAUCGGGAUUGUGGACAGUGUCUGGUGGGUAGUUUGACUGGGGCGGUCUCCUCCCAAAUAGUAACGGAGGAGCACGAAGGUUAGCUAAUCACGGUCGGACAUCGUGAGGUUAGUGCAAUGGCAUAAGCUAGCUUAACUGCGAGACAGACACGUCGAGCAGGUACGAAAGUAGGUCAUAGUGAUCCGGUGGUUCUGUAUGGAAGGGCCAUCGCUCAACGGAUAAAAGGUACUCCGGGGAUAACAGGCUGAUACCGCCCAAGAGUUCAUAUCGACGGCGGUGUUUGGCACCUCGAUGUCGGCUCAUCACAUCCUGGGGCUGAAGUCGGUCCCAAGGGUAUGGCUGUUCGCCAUUUAAAGUGGUACGCGAGCUGGGUUUAGAACGUCGUGAGACAGUUCGGUCCCUAUCUGGUGUGGGCGUUGGAUGAUUGAUGGGAGCUGCUCCUAGUACGAGAGGACCGGAGUGGACGAACCGCUGGUGUUCGGGUUGUCAUGCCAAUGGCAUUGCCCGGUAGCUACGUUCGGAACGGAUAACCGCUGAAAGCAUCUAAGCGGGAAGCCGGCCCAAAGAUGAGUCAUCCCUGACCUUUAAGGUCUGGAAGGGUUGUUAUAGACGAUGACGUUGAUAGGCAGGGUGUGGAAGCGUUGUAAGGCGUUAAGCUAACCUGUACUAAUUGCCCGAGAGGCUUAACCAUACAACGCCUAA
Molecule: ribosomal RNA, 2907 nt
Filed under: Alteromonas sp. MB-3u-76
Lineage: Bacteria; Pseudomonadati; Pseudomonadota; Gammaproteobacteria; Alteromonadales; Alteromonadaceae
Description: bacterial LSU rRNA
Rfam family: Bacterial large subunit ribosomal RNA
Source: RNAcentral